GACGAACGCUGGCGGCGUGCUUAACACAUGCAAGUCGAACGGAAAGGCCCUGCUUUUGUGGAGUGCUCGAGUGGCGAACGGGUGAGUAACACGUGAGUAACCUGCCCUUGACUUUGGGAUAACUUCAGGAAACUGGGGCUAAUACCGGAUAGGAGCUCCUGCUGCAUGGUGGGGGUUGGAAAGUUUCGGCAGUUGGGGAUGGACUCGCGGCUUAUCAGCUUGUUGGUGGGGUAGUGGCUUACCAAGGCUUUGACGGGUAGCCGGCCUGAGAGGGUGACCGGCCACAUUGGGACUGAGAUACGGCCCAGACUCCUACGGGAGGCAGCAGUGGGGAAUAUUGCACAAUGGGCGGAAGCCUGAUGCAGCAACGCCGCGUGCGGGAUGACGGCCUUCGGGUUGUAAACCGCUUUCGCCUGUGACGAAGCGUGAGUGACGGUAAUGGGUAAAGAAGCACCGGCUAACUACGUG
Molecule: ribosomal RNA, 468 nt
Filed under: uncultured bacterium
Lineage: Bacteria
Description: partial 16S ribosomal RNA
Rfam family: Bacterial small subunit ribosomal RNA
Source: RNAcentral